RNAcentral lists this long non-coding RNA (1007 nucleotides) under Triticum aestivum (bread wheat). Its description in RNAcentral is "long non-coding RNA (TAES_LNC023640)". The record is from RNAcentral. Lineage: Eukaryota; Viridiplantae; Streptophyta; Magnoliopsida; Poales; Poaceae.
CCCCAUUCCCUUCUCUCCCUCCCACCAAAAAGUUUGCGGCGGCUGCGCUGUUCUUCCCAGCAGCGCCGACUGCUGCUUUCGUUGGAAGCCAGAUUCGGUUGCGGGGGAGAUGGAAAGGCGUCCUGCGACGAGGGGCCUCUGCACGCCGCCGCCUUUGCGACCACCAUGACAUCUCAGUCUCACUCUCACACGGUUCCAGCAGCCGGGGCAAGCACAUCGCCAGGAGGUAGAGGAGUCCUCUGAUUCCAUAGCUCAUUGGUAGAAUAGUCAGACUUGUUUGUUGAUUCAGAUUGUAGGCUUUGGGAUUCAGAAUUAUUUGUUGAUUCCGAUUCUAUAGCUCAUUGGUACUCCCUCCGUUCCUAAAUAUAAGUCUUUGAAGAGAUUUCAUUAUGGACCACAUACGGAGUAAAAUGAGUGAACCUAUACUCUAAAAUGCAUCUACAUACAUCCGUAUUUGGUCCAUAGUGAAAUCUCUACAAAGACUUAUAUUUAGGAACGGAGGGAGUAGAAUAUUCCAUAGCUUAUUUGUUUGUUGAUUCAACAGAAGCUCGCAUGCUGGACCAGGAACUUCUGCUAUUAAUCCACUUAAAAGGAAGAGGGGUGUCUAUGGUAAGAAGAAGAAGAUGAUCCCUGUUACUCCUCAAGAAGAUCUGCUCUUUGCUUCCUCUGCUUCAGAAAGUGACGACGACGAGGACACCGACAUGAGUUCUGGUUCUGACAUGUGAGCUUGUCGGUUUCUCUAUGAAGUUCGUUUUGGCGCUCAUGAUUCUAUCCUUUCCUGUGUGCUUUUGACAAAUGAAUUGUGAAGACUUUGUGAUGCAUGUAAUGGACUAUGGACAUGUUGCUGUUGUUACUGAACUUAAGUGCCGAACUGCUGAUGUUAUGCUUGAUGCAGUCUUGAAUUUAUAUUUCUAUUUAUCUGUUGAACUGCUGCAGAUUGUUAUGUUCGAAUUUAUAUUGAGAAUCCUCUGUUUUCUACUGAAAAUACCCUGUUUUCUGAGAAAAAC